GGCCAAGCCUAAGGAAAAAAGCCAGAGAAGAUAAAUGGGCAGAUAAUGGUUAGAGGACCAGAGAUCACAGAAUGCUGUGGAAGGAGGUAUGUUUCCAAUGUUAGCACUGAACCCUACACACAAGGAGACGGAACACAGGCAAACAGAAAUGAUUAGUCUCCCCACUAGAAAUAGUUGACAAAGGUACAAUUACUGGGUAAAGAAGAGGACAGAAAAUUCAUUGGCUUAGUGCGUGUUCAAUUAAUUGCUAAAGCAAAAGCAUGUAUAGAAAAGAUCUAUGUAUUUUAUAUUUAAUAUCCCACAUAUAUGUGUAUAUAUGUGUUUAUUUAUAAGUAUGUUUCUUUUACACCCAUUAUGUUUGCUUGGUGCCAUACAUAGGUGAAGUUCAUGAUGGAGAAGGUAGAAACUGAAAAAAUUAAAAUAUAAUUCUUAACCAAUAGAUCUUGUGAACCUUGGGAAAAUCAGCCAACUUCAUAACUCAGUAUACAAACAGAAACUAAUUCUCAUACAACAUGGACUCACAGACAAGAAACAAAAUACUAUCCA
Molecule: long non-coding RNA, 546 nt
Filed under: Oryctolagus cuniculus (rabbit)
Lineage: Eukaryota; Metazoa; Chordata; Mammalia; Lagomorpha; Leporidae
Description: lncRNA (ENSOCUG00000034487.1)
Source: RNAcentral